GCCAGACUCCUACGGGAGGCAGCAGUGGGGGAUAUUGCACAAUGGGGGGAACCCUGAUGCAGCGACGCCGCGUGGGUGAAGAAGUAUUUCGGUAUGUAAAGCCCUAUCGGCAGGGAAGAAAUUGGACGGUACCUGACUAAGAAGCCCCGGCUAACUACGUGCCAGCAGCCGCGGUAAUACGUAGGGGGCAAGCGUUAUCCGGAUUCACUGGGUGUAAAGGGAGCGUAGACGGCAGUGCAAGUCUGGAGUGAAAGGCGGGGGCUCAACCCCGGGACUGCAUUUGGAACUGUGUGGCUGGAGUGUCGGAGAGGCAGGCGGAAUUCCUAGUGUAGCGGUGAAAUGCGUAGAUAUUAGGAGGAACACCGGCGGCGAAGGCGGCUUACUGGACGGCAACUGACGUUGAGGCCCGAAAGCGUGGGGAGCGAACAGGAUUAGAUACCCUGGUAAA
RNAcentral lists this ribosomal RNA (448 nucleotides) under uncultured bacterium. RNAcentral describes it as "bacterial SSU rRNA". It matches the Rfam family "Bacterial small subunit ribosomal RNA", at positions 330 to 794 of the family's 1533-position model. The record is from RNAcentral.